ACCACGUUUGGGUUUUGGCAUCCUACAGAAAGGUGGUGUGUGCUUGCGCAAGAGCAUUCACUGUGCACUGUUUGCCUUUGCUCUUUCUUCAUCCUCUGUCCCCUGCUCACCUCCAGAUGGUACUGACAGCAGGCAUGUGGUACCCUCAGGAGGGAAAGCAGAGGCCAGGGAGGUGAAGCCACUUCUUCAGGGUCAGAUAUUGAACAGCAAGAUGGAGAGCUCAGCCCUGUCUGAGGGGACUCCAUCAUGUGGGGUUGUAGGGAGUCCCCUGAGGGAGGAUGUGGUCUGACAGCAAGGGCUUAAAGCACAGCUUGGAGUCUCUGCCCCUUCCUCUCCUCUACUUGCAACUCAUUUUCUAGACUAUCAGUCACCCACCUCUUUGGGCUAACUCUGCCAGGCUCCUCCCACUGAUCCAGGAACCCAAGUACAAGUCUCUACUCCAGGAACCACUGCCAAGGAGAUCAUUACUCAUUAACUCUGGGGAGCAGAAAGAAGAAAUAUACCCUUUUCCUUGACUUCCUUUUGGACUAUCUUCCUGAAAGCAAAAAACCUGUGAAUAUUCAUCACUUUUAGUUUAAUUCAUAGGGCACUCUCAGAUGGAAGGCUGAAGUAAUUAGCAGGUACUGACAUACUGUCAAAAAUGAACACUUUGCCAGUCAUAAAAUCACAGAAUCCCAGCCUCGUUUGGGUUAGAAGGGACCUUAAAGCUCCUCCAGUUCCAACCCCUGCCAUGGGCAGGGACCCCUUCCACUAGAGCAGCUUGCUCCAAGCCCCUGUGUCCAACCUGGCCUUGAACACUGCCAGGGAUGGGGCAGCCACAGCUUCUCUGGGCACCCUGUGCCAGCGCCUCAGCACCCUCACAGGGAAGAGCUUCUGCCUAAGAGCUCAUCUAAAUGAAAUGAACACUUUUCCAAGCUGUGUGUACCCAAUUGAAGCACAGCAGCAAAAGAUGUAAAUGUUUGGAAAAGACAUUUAUGGGUUUUAAAGAAGCAUAGAUUUUUCACCAAACAGUUUCAGACUGCUAGCUCUGAGUUUACAGUCUUUCUCUCUGCACCUCGAAGUGGGAAGGUAGAGCUUAAAAAAUGUGAAAUAAUGAGAACUAAGCCCAGAAUGGAGAAAGUGAGUGUAUAUGUGCUAAUUUACACCAGCUAAGGAUUUGGCUUUCAGCUCCUAUAAAUUAUCUGAUUACACAAGUUAUUGUUGUGGGCUUGGUUUUGUUUCGUUUCUAUCUCUAUGUCCACUGUUCUGGGAUUUGACAGCAUUGCAACAUCUCCAACUAGAAGCCUGUCAAAAAGCCUGCUGACAAAAGCUUUGUUGCGGUCCAUGUUACAUCUACAACGUCACUGAAAUAUAACCUAGCUGUUGUGACUAGAGAGGUGCCUGACAGUGCCUUGCAUAAGCCAAAGCAUCUCUUUAGCAUUUGAAGGUAAAGGUCUACACAAAAUGAAAA
Molecule: long non-coding RNA, 1450 nt
Organism: Neopsephotus bourkii (Bourke's parrot)
Lineage: Eukaryota; Metazoa; Chordata; Aves; Psittaciformes; Psittacidae
Exons: 4
Source: RefSeq, a predicted model, not a curated record